CGGGGGGGCGAGCAGCAGGCUGGCAGGCGACUGGGUCGGAGAGGACAUCUGGAGCAGCUGGUGGAGAAGCUUCCCGGGGGCUGCAGGAGCGCAGGGACGACUGGAGAGGGCAAGGAACGUGCUCCGUGGCACCAGGAGAUGCCGAGAAGACUGGGGAGCUGACGCACAGCCAGGCUUCGGCAGCGAAGGAACAAGCCUUGUGCAGAGCUCCAGGAGGGACUCGAGUUUCUUUGAAACCUGGAAGCCCCUCAAAGCUGCUGAAAUUGAAGUCAAAGGACAAAUUCACUCUUCAAGGACACAGUGGAAGGAGCGGGAAGCGAAAGUGAGGAACUUGCUGCUGGAGGAAGCAAAGGAAACGUUGCAACAGCAGGGUCAAAAAGGGAUCAGAAAACUUGAGAGGCAACAGGUCCGUCAGCAGAGACCGAAGGCAGCAGGCAGGGAUUUCUUCUCUAACAUUCCUGGCACAACAAGCGUGGAUGCUGGGGGAGAACAAGGAGGAUGCCCGCGGAGCGGCCAGGCUCGUGUGCAUCCUGAGGAGCAGCUCCUCUUUUGCCAGAGACAGAACCCUAGGCGAGGUGAGCAUCUCGGGUGCAGGCAGAGGAGCUCCCAAGGCUGGAGCUGUAAGAGCCACGGGGGCCAGCAUGGUUUCUGUCACGGCACCGUUCAGCAGCUCUCACAGUGGAAUAGCAAGAUUUAUUUGCCAUGCUGUGCUUUUAACAAAAUACACUGACCCCUAGAUGAGGACAAACGUUGCUUUCUCAUAGGAGCAGACACAGUUGGAAAGCUAGAACCAAAAUAUUUAUCAGUGACUAAAACUUUGGAUUCUUGCUUUCUGAGAGUUGAUCUUAAAACUACCUUUUUUAGAUGUUAAUCUUCUGUGGGAAAAUAAAAUCAUCUGGGAGAGCAGCAGCGCGUUUCAGCGCCGUGUUUCAGCGUGAGCCGCUCUGCGCCGCAGGGAAAGCCGAACCCGAGCUGCCCUGAGCAACAUCCUCGCUCUGGUCUUGUGGGACCUCACAGCACUGAUGGGGAUUUGGCCCUUCUCCAGAGCUGAAAUCAGCCGCGUAGGCAGUAAGUGUGCAUGCGUGUGCAUUUGAGUAGGAUGUUCUUCGACUCCCACAGUUGGCUUUUCUCUCUGGAUGAAUACAUGCUGCAAAAUUUUUGCUCGAGCGGGUUUGCCAAGCACGUCCCCGGAUGGCAGACCGUUACCUGCAGCCUUACCCUGGGUGUGCCACGGCAGCCAGCGCCACCGGAGAAGCCUUUUCAGCGAGGCUCAGUGUUUGAGAUGGCUGCUCCGCUGUGCUAGCAGCAGCUCGCCGCUGCUGAGCUAAUGGCCUCAUCUGGGAUUUUGCUGGAAUAACCCAUCACUCCUCCGUGGGCAUCGCCACGGAGAGAGGCUGAGAGCAAAGAGAAAGGGUACAGAGAGGAGAAGGUACAUCAGCAACAGCAGCUACUUUGUAGAUUUUACUGCUUUUUGAUGUCUCCCUGAAAGCAGGAGUGCCUGCCCCUCCCUGCCUCUCCUUCCUCUGCUGCAGAACUGCUGUGCUCAUGAGCCAGCACAAGUGGGCUUGUGGUUGCAAGGUGACGUGGUCAGGGAAAUGACUCCAGCUGCAGAACCACUGCUUUUUUGCCAUUAACUUUCCAGCUGUGCCAGUUCCCCAGAGGGGGAUGUCUUUGUGGCCUGUCCAUUGCUGCUCAUAGGGCUGUGCAGGGCUGGAGGGGUGCAGGACCAACUCUUCCACUCACAGCACUGGAUUUCUGCCUCAGAUAUUUGCCCAGCUCGAGCACCAGCCCCGAGAGCAUUUGCUCACUCUCUGUCUUUGUCCAUAUCACCGCUGCUUGCUGCAUCCAUCCUGGGAAGGACGCUCUCCAAAGCACGCGGAGCAAAUCGCCCUUUGCAGCUUGCCACCACCCAGCGAGGGCUGUAGGGGCUGGGGAGAGGAGAGGCUCUGCUGGCUCCUGGUCUGACACUGCCGAGUGCAAGAGCUUUUAUUCUGUGUCUGCGUGGCCUGUGGCAGCAGGUCCGGUCACCAUUAAUACCUCUUUUAUCACUACUUGAACUACGUGUAACUCGCAUCGCAAAUUGCAUCUCUUGUAUCCGCUGCGUUUGGCGUUGAACUGCAAAAUCAGGCAUUGUAUAAAAACAAAGGGCAGAGCGUGUGUGCGCGCGCAUGUGUGAGUGCGCCUGGGCCCUCUGCGAAAACCCGAGGUGGAAAUUUGAUGUAGGAACCUGUCACGAGAACGUGCCCUCUACGUGGGAGGGAGCGUGUUUGAUUGCCUGCCUAGAGCGGCUGCAUGGGCAGCCUUUGUUUUGGAAGUUAUGUAAGGAGAUUUGGAGUGCUGCUUAAGUGCCUGGCUGACUGGUUUGUCCUACCAGAAGUGCCUGUGCUUUCUCCCGUUGCGCGAGCUCUCAGGAGACGCCUGGGAGCUCAGGAUGCAGAGCUGGAGCGUGUGGGCCUGCUGCUGACUCUGAUGACGGGGAGAAGACAGGGUUCCCAUCUGCGCAUCGAUCGCUGCUGGGGAAGCGUCCUAGCCCUGCACCGGGAGCUCCUGGAGAUGGACCCUUCGCUCGAGAUCAGGUGCUCGUAGGAAGGUCCGGGUGGGAAGGGACCUUGGGAUGUCACCCGGCUCGUGGCUGUGGCCACGUGCACCAGGAUGCCUCCGUCACUGGUCGUGCCUUUUCUCCAGACAUGUCCCUGGCGCUCCCGAAGCUGAGCACCCCUCCUCCCCGAAGGAUACCCGGUAACUACUUUUCUCUCCUAAACUGUCAUCCCCACACUGUCCGAAAUCUAGCCAGUGCUUCUGAGCACAUCAAGGACAAAGUCAGAGUUAUGAAUCCGCUCUAGCACAGAGAUAAGACUCAGUAUAAUUAGAAACUUUUUAUGUGAAGAAAUGAAUCAAAGCUUCUUCUACUCCUGGGACAUUUUAACUCUUCACAGCUUAUAUUAUUAGUUGCAAAAUCAUUUUUUUCCUCAGUUUCAGGCUAGAAAAACGUGAAGUAAGAAAGAAGUCCACACUGAGCUGACCCUGCUCAGCUGCUUGACCCCAUGGACAAGCAAGUGCCGACGGAGCAUGGGAGACAUCUAAGGGCACCUCUGGGCUGUCACACAGAGCACUGGAAAAUGGCUUUAAGGCUGGAAAGCCAACGUGUCAUUCAGCCUUGUGAGUGGGCAGGGGAAAGGAGACUGCUGGGUGUGACAGGAGCACGACCUGUGCCAUAAGCAGAGAGGUGUAUGAUUGCCGCAGGGUGUGGCACGGAGCAGGAAGACAGGAAAUUGUGCCCACGGUGCCACUUCUCUGCUCAGUUCAGUGCAAAACCCCAAUCUUCAGCAGUCUGCAACUAAAGUUAAGUUGUUCUAAUUAAACUUUUCUAGGUAGGAAAAAAAAAAAGAAAAGAAGUGAAGAACGGAAAGAUUUAGCUGUACCAAGAAAGGAAAUUCGGGUGCAAUCUCGUGCAUUUACUGGCUUUCAGUCCCGGUGAGCUGCUACAGCUCUUCCCCAGUCUGGGCCCAAACUGGGAAUCUCAGAUUUCAUUAGUUCCCCACUAAAUAUUCCUAUUGUCUUUAUUGUAGAAGGCCAGGAGGGUUGCCUUGACCAGACAGCAUGGAGCCUCGGGUCUUGUUUGGACCCCAAGUGGUUUUAGCUGCGUUUAGCAGCUGCCUGUUGGUCAGUGCCCAUUGCGUGACCUGAGGUUGAGCUCUCUGAACAGAGCAUGCUAAAGGGCUGAUGAAGCCAGGCAUCUCUGUGUAGCAAACAACAGCCCUUUCUGUUAAGUGAAGCUGGAGGAGGCUACUGGGCAACUUCCAAACUUCAGCUGGGAACCAGCAAGAAGGCAGUGUUACCAAAACACAUGGAAACGAAUCCAAGUGUGUGCAAGACUGAGGAGGAAGAAUUCACUGCUGGGAAUGGCAGACUCCUCUUGGCAGUGACUUCAGGGUGCUGAUGACUUGCUGUCACGCUGUGGUGCUCGAGGAAGACCUGACCUCUCCAGUGUGAAGCUACCAAGGACAAAUCGUGCCUGACCAGCCAAGUGAUUUGCCUCCUGUGGGGAGACAACAGACGAGAGCAGGGGAUAUCGCAUACCUGGGCUUCAGCAAGGCUUUGAUGUGGCCUCGAUUUGUAAGAUAAAUGGUGGGUGGGCGCACUGCCAGUUCAUGGGGUCGCAGUCGGCAGUAUGGAGCUGGUGGUCAGCUUCUCGUGGCUUCCCCUGGGGGGCCUCUGCCCCAGCAUUGGUGAGGCCACAGCUGGCAUCCUAUUUUGGGCUCCCCAGUAAAAGAGAGAGAUCAACACAGAGGGGCAAGUCCAGAGGAGGCCCACAAAGAUGGUUGUAGGCUUAAGCAUAUGGGAAAUGAGGAGAGGUGUGAGGGGGAAUCUAAUUGCUGUCUUCUGCUACUUCAUGGAUACUCAGAGAGAGGAAGCCAAACUUGGUGCACACUGGAAAGGUGACAGACAAUGGAUACAGUUUGGAACAAGAGAGCUUCUGCUUGGUUAGAAGGGAAAAGUCUUCCCCAUUAUGGGGGCGAAACACUGGGAAGGAGGCCAAAGAGGCGGUGGGAUCUCCAUCUUCAGAGGUAUUCCCCACCUGACUGCACAAAGGCUUUGAGUGAUGUAAUUCAGCUCUGCUCUGAUCCGUGGUUGAACAAGAGACCUCUGGGGUCCACCCCAACCAAAACAUUUCUGUGAUUACUGUAUCAGUGCACUUUGGUGGAAGAGGACAGUAGGAUGUGAUACAUCCCUCUUCUUUUUGAAAGCUGAGAUAUUUGAUAAGAAUCUUUCCCAGUUAUGAGCACGCUGAGAGGUUUAAGACAAGAACUGAGAUCUUACAGGGUACCAGAAAUGAGAUAACUUAUCUUUGCCUGUGGCAAGCAAACUCUACUAUUCACGCUCUAAUUUCCUGGACAACUUGUUUUUCUUCUGGGAACACCUGCUGCAUUCAGAGCACCGUGCGACGAGCGAAGGGGGUCUGGGCUUGGCAGGACCACAGCUGCGUUGGCAGUGUGAGUGCUGAAUUAAGUCUGAUGCUGCUGGAUGCCACAGGACUGCCUUUGGAGAGACAUGUCUAAGAGCAGGCUGCAGGAGGAGAAUACAUCUCGUGUCAGAGGGCACCACGAGAAUCUGCAACCUCUCUGAUAUUUCUGAGACUUACUUCCCUGUGUGAUGAGAGCAAUAGAUAAACGCAAGAGGAAGUAAAAGAUUCCCUAUUCAGAACAGGGUUUGAUGUGUAGUAAACAAGCCCUGAGGCUGUACACUGAAUGAUGAAGAUAUAAACCACACUGAGUGGUGCAGAAACGCGGCACAAAACAAUGUAGUGUGUAGCUGUCCAGAGAAGACUGGUUAAUCUGUCUGGAAAUAAAGAUGUGGAGCACAGACAGUGCACCGCAUCGGUGUGAAAUCGGUGAGCGCUGCAGGUGCUGAGCUCUUUGCAGGAGCAAAUGCAGCUGGAUGAGAGGCGUGCAGGGCAGGAUGGACUCACAUCACUCAGAGCAGGCUGGAUGCGAGCUCCUGGCUCAGAGAAGGGCUCAGGAACUGGGAAGGAUCGGGGUCAGGAGCGUACGUAGACAUGUCCCCAGCUGAGAGAGCAGGCAGGAGUGGUUCCCCCAGUCCCAGCUGCAAGCCUCGAGGAGCUGGGACUUGUUUGUCACAGGAACCCCUUGUACCUGGGAACACAGCAGGGAAGUUUUGGGUGCAGUCCUGCCUUGCAAACAGUCUGGGAUGGAUGGUCAUCCCUCAUACGCCGUAUUCAAACCUAGAAAAACAAGGAAACAAAUGUGAAAAGCAACUCGUGGGCCCAGUCUGGCUGCUGUGACAGAGGUCAUACCCAGCCGGGGCUCUACCCCUCUCCGCAGGACCACCCGAGGCUCUGCUGUGCCCCGGAGCUGUUUGGAGAACACUGACGCUCCUUGGAAAAUGCAAAUCGCCCUCACUGUUCCUGCGUCCUGUCAGGUUGGAUAAAGAUGCUUCAGGUUCACCCACGGCCACCAUGUGAGGUGCUCUCUGCAUCUCCUCCACCCUCCCCACCACCCUUCCCCUUUUGUAUUGGGGUGAACACUGGGGAGCGUUAGACCCAGAACAGCCCCCCGAGGUUCCUCUUUAGCCUGAUAAGACCCGUUAGUACACCUGUACCGAUUUACACUAAUUAGCUGUUCAUCUUUCCUAGUUGUCCCAUAUCAGCCCUCCCAGCAUGGCUGGAUUCAGCCUGGGACGACGGGACUGCCUGCCUGCGUGGCACAAUUCCACCGGUACCCUGAGACUUGUGUGAAAAAUUACCCUGCUGAAGCUACACUAAUCGCAGCAUGCAGUACGUAUACUUGCAAGCACAGUAUGCAAAGUCUGACCCUGCCAGGCACUUAGACUGACCUGAGAAACCAGCACUGACAAAUACCUCUCAAGCCCAUUACAUUCUCACUAAAUCUACUGCUCUCUGCAUCUCCUCUGCAUCAGGCAAGAGCUCCGUGUUAGAAAACAUAUCAGCGGCAAAAUUAAAAGGGAUAACAGUUUAAUUGCUUACUGUAUGAGAUUAAAAGUACAGCAGUGACUGAAAACAGUGUGAGGUCUGAGCUGCCAGCCACGCUGGAGGCCAGGCAUUUAGCCCAGUUCUUGGUGCCACCGCCUUUCCUGCUGACUGUUGUGGAGGAAUUACUGCAGAAAGGGGGCAUCACCCCUGGGAUGGCGGGUGCUGGGUGCAGCCCCAGUUUUGGGGUUCGACUCUGGAAUGGGAGAGCUUUGCCUGUGGCUGUUGGAUUUCUCACUUACCUGCCAGCAACCAGAGGCUUUUGCAGACUGUAGCAUGAGCCUGGGCAGGGGAUGGUGGGGCAGUCUGGCACCUGCCCUUGCUAGCAGUGGUGCCCUUGUGUUUUCUUCGCUGUGCCUGGGCUUGUUGAGGAGCCACGACAGGGUUUCACCUGGCAAUGUGAUAGUCCCUACAUCGAUGUCUCUCUGAGUUACCCACUGCCUGCAGUUGCAGGAUCCUGGAGCAUCAUCUGGCGAUACUCCCUGGCACCUCGGCUUUCUGGAGAGUAAAUUUCCACAGCUGCCUGUAACUGCAUUCCUGGGCAUGCCUGGAGGAGCUGCUUUUUGCGUGAGCUGACCGCUUCCUCCCUGAGGCCAUCUGGGAAGCAGAAAAAAAAACGGCUGCCUGGAGUCCCUGUGCCCUGCAAAGCCAGAUUCCUUAGGAGCGUGCCAAAUGCAUGGCAACUUGAAGCUGAGAAAAUAUGUGUGCAAUAUCCCAGAGCUUUGAAUAUCUGCCCGGGAAGCAGAAUACCUGCGGGCCUUUCUGCCUACAGGAGAUAGGAACAUCCGCCUGGCACCGCGUCCUGCCAUGUGCAUGCACCUGCGGGUGGCCGUGCAGCCUGUUCAGUCCCUGCCCAGACUCGGAUGUCACAGAAUCAUGGAAUGAUUUAGGUUGGAAAAGACCUUCGAGUCUUCAUCAAGACCUUCAUCAAGUCCAACCAUUACACUGUUGUUGCACUGCCGGACAACGUGCACACAUCCGAGUUGACAGCUGGAGGCAAAGGUGGGUCUCCAGGUCACCUCAGAUGGCUCUGGACAGUUGCAGGAAAGACACCAGCUUCACUCGAAUCUCUCACCAGACCUUAUCACCUAGAGAUCCAGGGCUUAGUUUUGUUGCCUUAAUACCAAUCUCUCGGUACUACCUUAGAUUCACCAGGGUGCUCCGUCUGCACGUGAGUCUCCCACAGACCCUAUGUUUGGUCUGUCAGCACUGUAGGGAUGUCUGGGGCACCCCAACGUGUCUGAAGCUGCACUAUAUAAGCCAACAUUUAGGCAACUGAGCUCCUCUGGCCCUGGUAGGAAGCUGAACACCUUGUUCCCCUGUAGGUGUCUGAAUUUGAGCAGAACCCCUUGAUUUGCUCUCCGUGGCCUGCCUGGAUGCAAUCUCUGCUUCUAAAUGGAGUCCGAGGUGACAGCUGAGAUGCUGACGCUGGCACUGGAUAUAUCCGCAGUUAGGUGAGACGAAUCUAGUAGGUGUGAUUCAGGAUUGUGUCCGUUUCACUUGUUCAGAUCUGUCCGACAGCCGUUUUUUUUCAGGAUGCUCUGGAGACCUCCUGGUGGUGGCACAUUUUCAGUGCACGUUGAGACCUGUAGGUCGUGAUGCUUGCAGCCCAUUUUAUAGGGGAGAUGUCGAUUUUACCAUUUGAGUUUCGUGGUCAUAAUGUCAUGAGAUAUCUGAUCUGGCCUGAGAGCUGCCAUGCCGUGGUCUCUGCUGACAGAGGUCCCUGGCACACGUCCCCGUGGGAUCUGAGGACCCCCCACGAGGUGGUGACACCGCUGGUGCCUCUGCGUGCUGCCAGAGGAAUCCCAACUUCCGAACAGGUUUCUGUCGCCGUGGAAUUAGAGCAGCACAAAUGGAACGUCAUACAAGAUGGUGUCAAAAGCUUUAUGAAAAUCCCUGUAUAUGGCAUCUUCCCUGUGACAUCAAGAGGAUUCUUGAAGACAACUGCUGAAUGCUCUGGAUCUGCGGGUUCAGGAGCCCUCCAUGAUCAAGCCCAGCUAAUCUAAAAAAUAACUCAUCUAAGGACUUUCUAAUCUGUUACCUCCUUCCGUCAUAUUGCUGAAGAUUUCACACUUCUGUCGCUGGGGCUCGCGGGAGUAGCUCCCUUUUUAGUAAAGGCAAAAAAGCAAAAGGAGCGUCGUGCUUGUGACUGUCACCUCUCAGCACCAGUUCUGCGUGGUGGAGCACUGGACCACCUCUCACCUUCGUCCCCUGCUUACUGACAGAGCAGCUCCAUCCUCUGAGGCUGUAUAUCCUUUGGAGCCCAGACCUACAGACUUUGUUCCCAAUUCCUCGUGCUUUUCUUAACCGUCCAUCCCAAGUAAUCUGAAGUAUAUUUUUUCUUUUCUUUUCACUUCUGCCCCACGUUUGAAGCCAAUGCGAAGUUUGUGGUUUUGAAAAGUUGAUCUUUUAAUAAAUUUUGACCACUUCUUCUUCAUCAGAACAGUUUGCAUUUGUUGCUGUUGUUUCUCUAGCCACAAGUUCUUUUUAGCGAUCUGCACAGAUUUGCCUUCCCUCUGCUCAUCCUCACUGAUUUUACCAGUCUAUGAAGCAGCUGUUUUUGUCUUGUUACCCUUCCCUUUUGGCCAGAAGCAAAUCUAGACAGCUUUAGCUUUUUUGUUUGUCUGUUUUACCUUUUGGGUAAGAACUGCUCUACCAAUGCAGUCAUAAAAUUUGCCAAGCAAUCAAUGAUUUACAGGAUCCCUGUCAAGCAAUUCUGAAUAGCUAAAAUCCCUCACUACCACCAUGUACCAUCUUUCAGAUGAUUUUGCAAACCACUCAUUAAAAUGGCUGUUCUGUUUUCCUAACUAUAUGCCUCUGCUCUAGCAGCACCCAUUUUUCCUUCUUUAAUUCUUAUUCAGAGACUAUUUCCUCCUGCAGUCUUAUACUCAGUGAAUGUACCUACGCUCUUGAUAUCCUCCUUUUUCUCCUUGUUCGCCCUUCCUGAACAAGCUAUACAGUUGGAUAUUAAUAUUCCAGACAUAAGUUAUCCCAACAAGCCCCUGUUACGCCAAUUAAAUCAGAAUUUUGCUUUGUGUGAAGAAUUCAAGCUCCUCCUGUUUGUUCUGUUUCUAAUGUUUGUGUAUACAGAUUUCUAAGACAUUAAACACGUUGUCCACUAUUGUCCUUGUCCUCUUAUGAACUAUAAAUGGUUCAAAAGCCAUCCUGAAAUCAGUAUGGUUUCCUGCUUGUCAAAAGGUUGUUUUAGAACAUUACUUCUCUGGUGGUUAGAAUCCUAUUAAUUUUCAGCCUAUGUUCAUGGCAAAUUUAUAUUUAUUUAUUCUUGUGCCAAUUUGUGCUUUGGAUUAAA
Cygnus olor (mute swan) is the source of this 9818-nucleotide long non-coding RNA. RefSeq lists it as uncharacterized. The transcript has 6 exons. The record is from RefSeq and is a predicted model, not a curated record. Lineage: Eukaryota; Metazoa; Chordata; Aves; Anseriformes; Anatidae.